This 253-nucleotide ribosomal RNA is filed under the name uncultured bacterium. RNAcentral describes it as "partial 16S ribosomal RNA". It matches the Rfam family "Bacterial small subunit ribosomal RNA", at positions 524 to 776 of the family's 1533-position model. The record is from RNAcentral.
UACGUAGGGGGCUAGCGUUGCUCGGAAUCACUGGGCGUAAAGGGUGCGUAGGCGGGUUUUUAAGUCAGGGGUGAAAUCCCGGAGCUCAACUCCAGAACUGCCUUUGAUACUGAAGAUCUUGAGUCCGGGAGAGGUGAGUGGAACUGCGAGUGUAGAGGUGAAAUUCGUAGAUAUUCGCAAGAACACCAGUGGCGAAGGCGGCUCACUGGCCCGGUACUGACGCUGAGGCACGAAAGCGUGGGGAGCAAACAGG